This 254-nucleotide ribosomal RNA is filed under the name uncultured Actinomycetes bacterium. RNAcentral describes it as "uncultured actinobacterium partial 16S ribosomal RNA". It matches the Rfam family "Bacterial small subunit ribosomal RNA", at positions 245 to 510 of the family's 1533-position model. The record is from RNAcentral. Lineage: Bacteria; Bacillati; Actinomycetota; Actinomycetes.
CUUGUUGGUGAGGUAAUGGCUCACCAAGGCGACGACGGGUAGCCGGCCUGAGAGGGCGACCGGCCACACUGGGACUGAUACACUGCCCACACUCCUACGGGAGGCAGCAUUGGGGAAUAUUGGGCAAUGGAGGAAACUCUGACCCAGCGACGCCGCGUGCGGGAUGAAGGCCUUCGGGUUGUAAACCGCUUUCAUCAGGGAAGAAGCGAAAGUGACGGUACCUGCAGAAUAAGCACCGGGUUAACUAUGUGCCA